AGUGAACGCUGGCGGUAGGCCUAACACAUGCAAGUCGAACGGCAGCACAGUAAGAGCUUGCUCUUACGGGUGGCGAGUGGCGGACGGGUGAGGAAUACAUCGGAAUCUACUUUUUCGUGGGGGAUAACGUAGGGAAACUUACGCUAAUACCGCAUACGACCUACGGGUGAAAGCAGGGGAUCUUCGGACCUUGCGCGAUUGAAUGAGCCGAUGUCGGAUUAGCUAGUUGGCGGGGUAAAGGCCCACCAAGGCGACGAUCCGUAGCUGGUCUGAGAGGAUGAUCAGCCACACUGGAACUGGGACACGGUCCAGACUACUACGGGAGGCCGCAGUGGGGAAUAUUGGACAACGGGGGGAAGCCUGAUCCAGCCAUACCGCGUGGGUGAAGAAGGCCUUCGGGUUGUAAAGCCCUUUUGUUGGGAAAGAAAAGCAGCAGGUUAAUACCCCGCUGUUCUGACGGUACCCAAAGAAUAAGCACCGGCUAACUUCGUG
RNAcentral lists this ribosomal RNA (492 nucleotides) under uncultured bacterium. RNAcentral describes it as "partial 16S ribosomal RNA". It matches the Rfam family "Bacterial small subunit ribosomal RNA", at positions 29 to 507 of the family's 1533-position model. The record is from RNAcentral.